RNAcentral lists this ribosomal RNA (195 nucleotides) under uncultured bacterium. RNAcentral's name for it is "partial 16S ribosomal RNA". It matches the Rfam family "Bacterial small subunit ribosomal RNA", at positions 521 to 715 of the family's 1533-position model. The record is from RNAcentral.
UAAUACGUAGGGUGCAAGCGUUGUCCGGAAUUAUUGGGCGUAAAGAGCUCGUAGGCGGUCUGUCGCGUCGGAUGUGAAAACCCAGGGCUCAACCCUGGGCCUGCAUUCGAUACGGGCAGACUAGAGUUCGGUAGGGGAGACUGGAAUUCCUGGUGUAGCGGUGAAAUGCGCAGAUAUCAGGAGGAACACCGGUGG